GUUGAUUGUAUUAAGGCAAUUACGAAAUUAAACCAAAAAUCACUGUAAAUUUUGCAAUAGCGGAAUGCUAAUUUUGAAAUACAAAUGGAAAUAGGAAAAAACGAAUAUAGAUUUAAGAGAUUAGGAUGGAUUAAGAUUUAGGAUUGGGAAUCAUGGUUAUUAAAAAUAGAAGAAAGAAUUUAGAAAAAGGUUACGAUCGAUUAGGAUUAAUUAGGAUUGGGAAUCAUGGUUUGGAUGGAUAUAGGGCACUUAUCUUUUCAUGCUGCGAGGUGAGGCUUUGGCUGCGUCACUGCUCGGCAUAAGAUGGCGGUCACACGUUCUGAUGUUCUUGGAUUGCUUGUUGCUUGGAAGUCCCUGUUCGGGCGCCAGAUGUUCGUUUCAUGAUCUACUUGCAAUUUGAAACUUAAUUACUUGAAGAAUGGAGAUUGAAGAUAAAAUAAAAGAUGUCAAACUGAAUUAUAGUGUAUUGCAAAAUCACAAUGAUUUAUAGUUACAAAUCAAUUGCUGCGCAUGACGA
Long non-coding RNA from Melitaea cinxia (Glanville fritillary), 517 nucleotides. RefSeq lists it as uncharacterized. NCBI's taxonomy places the organism in Eukaryota, Metazoa, Arthropoda, Insecta, Lepidoptera, Nymphalidae. The transcript has 4 exons. The record is from RefSeq and is a predicted model, not a curated record.